GGAAAAGUCUAUACCUUCAGAACUAGAGGAGAAACUUUUACCAGGACACCAUCAUUUCGAAAAGCAAAAUGAAGGACCUUCCCCAGCUGAUGUUCAUGAGUAUUUCGUUGGGGCUUAUGAGUCGAGGGUUGCCAACAUAGAGAAACUAAAACUCCUGAAGCAUGGCCUGAUAGAAGAAGAUUCUGAAGUGCAGAGUUGGCCUAAUUUAAGAGAUUCUGGUGCAACCUGGUGCCAACAGUUUACAAUUCUUUUCGGGAGAAGUCUCAAGGAGCGAAACCACGAGUAUUUCAGCAGUCUUCGGAUAACUCAAGUCAUAGCAACAGCUAUAGUUGUUGGCUUACUAUGGUGGAAUUCAGAUACUUCAUUCCCUGAAAGAAUUUCAGAUCAGGCAGGGUUGUUGUUCUUUGUUUCAGUAUUUUGGGGUUUCUUUCCACUAUUUACAGCAAUCUUCACAUUCCCACAAGAAAGGGCUAUGUUGGUUAAAGAGAGAUCAGUGAAUAUGUACAAGCUUAGUGCCUAUUUCAUAGCCAGAAUCACCACUGAUCUUCUCCUGGACCUAGUGUUGCCUGUAACAUUCUUGC
RNAcentral lists this unclassified non-coding RNA (581 nucleotides) under Hevea brasiliensis (rubber tree). Lineage: Eukaryota; Viridiplantae; Streptophyta; Magnoliopsida; Malpighiales; Euphorbiaceae. The record is from RNAcentral.